RNAcentral lists this ribosomal RNA (245 nucleotides) under Entomoneis paludosa. RNAcentral's name for it is "Amphiprora paludosa partial Bacterial large subunit ribosomal RNA". It matches the Rfam family "Bacterial large subunit ribosomal RNA", at positions 1282 to 1525 of the family's 2925-position model. The record is from RNAcentral. Lineage: Eukaryota; Bacillariophyta; Bacillariophyceae; Surirellales; Surirellaceae.
UUAGAAGUGAGAAUGCCGGUGUGAGUAGCGAAAGACGGGUGAGAAUCCCGUCCACCGAUUGACUAAGGUUUCCAGAGGAAGGCUCGUCCGCUCUGGGUUAGUCGGGUCCUAAGCUGAGGCCGACAGGCGUAGGCGAUGGAUAACAGGUUGAUAUUCCUGUACCACCUAGUAUCGUUUUAAUCGAUGGGGGGACGCAGUAGGAUAGGCGAAGCGUGCUGUUGGAGUGCACGUCCAAGCAGUAAGGC